AACGAACGCUGGCGGCAUGCCUAACACAUGCAAGUCGAACGAGACCAUCGGGACUAUUGGCGCACGGGUGCGGAACGCGUGGGAACAUGCACUUAGGGUCGGAAUAACUCUCCGAAAGGGGUGCUAAUACCGGAUAAUGUCUUCGGACCAAAGAUUUAUCGCGUUUGGAUGGGCCCGCGUUGGAUUAGAUAGUUGGUAGGGUAAAAGCCUACCAAGGCGACGAUCCACAGCUGGUCUGAGAGGAUGAUCAGCCACACUGGGACUGAGACACGGCCCAGACUCCUACGCGAGGCAGCAGUGGGGAAUGUUGCACCGUGGGCGGAAGCCUGAUCCAGCACUGCCGCGUGAGUGAUGAUGGCCUUAGGGUUGUAAAGCUCUUUUACCCGUGCUGAUCAUGACAGUACCGGGAGAAUAAGCCCCGGCUAACUACGUG
RNAcentral lists this ribosomal RNA (433 nucleotides) under uncultured bacterium. RNAcentral describes it as "partial 16S ribosomal RNA". It matches the Rfam family "Bacterial small subunit ribosomal RNA", at positions 29 to 507 of the family's 1533-position model. The record is from RNAcentral.